Long non-coding RNA from Mesoplodon densirostris (Blainville's beaked whale), 4117 nucleotides. RefSeq lists it as uncharacterized. The transcript is spliced from 4 exons. NCBI's taxonomy places the organism in Eukaryota, Metazoa, Chordata, Mammalia, Artiodactyla, Ziphiidae. The record is from RefSeq and is a predicted model, not a curated record.
CUCUCAGGUGUGGUGGGCGGGCCGGACCUCGGGCGAUGCUUUCAGCGUUUCAUCUCCGAGCAACCUCACAGGCGUCUUCAGAGCUUUCUCAGGCGCUCGGUUAUUUGCUCCUCAAAACAGUUUCGAAGAGAGAAGAGGCAGAAAUCACUGUCACCUGAAGCAAAUGCCUCAGCUCUCCAUGGUUCGCCUGUAUUCUGCCGUCCCGUCGGCAAUGACUGCAUCCAGGGGAUAGCGCUUCUUGCGGAUGCUGCGCCCGGAGGAGAUGAGGUCGGCGUAGCCACGCUGGUGGGAGAAAGCGUAGGCCGAGCGCCGCGUGGACAUGCCCCGGCGGAACACAUUCUGCCGCCGCUUCCACUGCUCUUCAGCUUUCAACUGCUUUCGGUGCUUCUGAAUCUGCGAAAGCGGGAGAGAUGGGAAAAUACCAACCUGUAAAUUUAAAUGCAGAUGGAAAGAGAACAUGUAUUCCAGCACUCUGAAGGUCAAAUAUGAUGCCAAAAUAAAGUGCAAUGCUUCCAAAAAUUGAAAAAGCAUUCACAAAAGUCCAAUAAGAAGUAUCCAAGCCAAUCUGUUGGGAAACCAGAGAAAAACGGAGCACUCAUUUUGGGGAGUUAGCAAGAAAUAAAGGAUCGAAGGAUUCUGAAAAUAGUAGAAUUCAGCAGUUGAAGCAUGGUAUGUAUGGCUUGAAUACUGAACCAUCAGAAGCUCUCUUUGGCUCAGGCAAGAAAUAGGAACUAUGUUUGGUAUAAGGGAUGAAAAUAGCAUCCAUUCACAUUUGCAAAGCAGCAGAGGCUCAGUUGGAGGAAGAAUGGGAGCCAGGCGGAUGUGCACGCUGGUCUACCUACAGAAAUGCGCACAGUACCAACAGGUACUGAAAACCGUCGCCUAAAGCCACAUACCUGGAAAUUGACUGUUAUUACAAGAGCAGAAGCAAUUGUGACGGCAAAAGACUGGUAGUCUGAGGGCGCCUCUCCAUCCUGUCCCACAGUUUGCAGGUAAGCUCCGAGAGGUAUGAAGAAGAGGAUCAGUGACGUGAAAACCCCGUGCAACAAGCUUACGAAGAAUCUCCUAUAGUUGAACAAUAACAGGGAAAUGUUGAGAUUCUGUCAGAGACAAGGAAGAGGAGCCACCGCCCCAGGCCCUGACAUCCAGUCCAGCCUCUGCCGAGCAGACCAAGGACAGUAUGUGAAGUGAACACUGCCACAGUUUACAGAGUGACUCAAGUCAACUGAACAGAUGUACUUUAUCAGGCCACACUGCUUUUUGUUUGUAUUUUCCUAAAAUCUAAACAUAGGCACCUAGACUUCCCUGCAGUUGCCAACGUGGUUUCAAUUGCCUGUCCGGUAGGCCACUUCAUCAUUCCCUAACUAGCUGAUCGCUUCCUCUUGCCUCUCUAAUGCCACCUGUUCAUUCUCAGAAUUUAGACCAAGGAAAAUAACACCCACCAGCCAUCUUCAGGCACAAGGGGGAGAGAGGGCAGUAUCCAAGGGUCCUUGGAUCCUUGCUAGCGGCAGACCAUGGUGGGCCGCGGUUCCCUCCACUUCUGCUAGACUACACCACUAACCAUGAAACAUGUUAGCAAAUGGUCAGAUUUGUUGGACACUUAAAUUUCACUGUACUUUAUAAACAACAAACAGUUUCUUUCGGUUCAUUGUUCUUGAUGUAGGUAAAAGAGAUGACAGUUUUCACAAAGUUCAAAAAGGCACUUAAUACUUGGGUUAAGCUACUGAGUUCCAGGGAGACCUGAACUUCUUUGAUUUUCAUCCCAAAUGGAUGUCUCCUACAUUAUAUAUAAAAAUGUGUAUCACAUAACAGAGCUUAAUAAAAUUCUGAAAACAACUUAAGAAAAAACAGUCUCUAGGAGGUUAUCUAUGCCAACUUUGUGUGAUCCCUUUUGCUAUCAGUUGGUGAACUCAGAGGAACAAGAGUUUUCAAGUCUCAGUCACAUAAUCGGUAAAUCUGAAAGGGAAUCCCCCUUCCCCGACAUCUAGAAGUCUUCAUUAUAACUGAAGAAAAAUAAUGUUUGAGUCACUUGCCCUUUUGGCACAGUCAUUUAUGUUAAAAGGUACAUAAUGGAAAAUAAACUAGAGCUGGCUACAGAGGAAAGAAAUAGAUCUAACUCAGAGCAAGAAUCGCCAUUUGCAUGGCAGGAUGAACAUGUGCAAAAAACACAGUGGAAAGGAAUUAAACUGGCCGUGGCCACAGACAUAAACAUGAAGAAGUGAGAAGACGUACAUUAUAUAGCGGACUCCUUUUGAGGAAGAUAAAGUUGGAAUAUUCUUAGUAUAUAUCAAGGAGGAGAAGGAAGAGACUCUAAGGAAAGAAAGAGAAGAGUUACGAAACAGGCUGAAUUAAAAGUCUAGUUAUACAUAUAAUGCAUUUAAGCUACCCGGCACCACAGGACAUGUGUAUACAUGCCAUGGAUAGUUCAUCUUAAGAAAAAUACUACAAAGCUAGAGGUGACAUCAGAGAUAAUUUUCUUGUUCUCAAAUGAGAAAACUGAGGCCUGAGCAUGAGCCCAGGGUGACACAGCAUGCUGGCAUUAGGAUGAGGACAAGUAUUCAGAGCUCAUUAGUUUGGGCAUUUUCAUUACAAGAUACUCCUGUAUAAGUAAUACAGGGAGAAAAAGGACCCAGGAUUCAGACAUAUUGAUGAGGGUUUGGUUCCACAUGCUUUUAAUAUCAGCAGAAUUGUAUUUCUGCAGUGACAGGACUCAGUCCAUCAAUUUGGGGGUACCUAGGGUCCUCCAACCAGCAAAAUGACCUUGGGAAGUCAGGAGAAUGUUGAGGCCACGUCAGAGCUGUGCUUCAAUGUUACACUGAGCUCACACUACGUCACCUAAGGGUGAAGUUCAACAAAUUUACCAAAGGCAAGAAGAAAGCCCCAGAAAACAAUGCUCAGGUGUGGGAGAAUAAUAUUCCCAAAACAAAUAACACAGAGAGUUCAAUAAUUUAUGCCAAGCUCAGCAGGAAUUUUUGCAAAACAUUAAAUAGCAGGGUUCUUAAUAAGCCCUGAAGAAAUAAGGGAGGAGAAGCAGCAGGAGCAAACACAAAACCAAAUCCAAACAUACGUAAAAGAAGGAAACAAAAAAGGAUAAGUUCACCCACACAGAGCUCAUCUUCGACUUGGCACUCUUUGUAUAGAAUAGUCAUAACCUGCGCUCUCCUACUGAGUGGACUGUAAGCUUCCUGAGGGCAGGGUCACAGGUGUAGUUACCACAGUUAAGUGCCUUUAUUAAAGGUCUGCUUCAUGAAAGCCCAAGCAAUGAAAUCAGAAAAAAAACUACCCCAAAAAUGUUCCUGCCAUUUCCUCUCUACCAAUUCAGGUGGCACUGGCCAUGUGCGAGACUCACUUUUGAUCAUGUUGACAUCAUUGGCCCCGUCUCCAAUGGCGAGCGUGAUGGCUUUCUUGUACCUCUUCACCAGGUCCACCACCAUGGCCUUCUGCUUGGGGGUGACCCGGCAGCAGAUGACUGCACUGCACUCACAGGCCAGGUCAACAAAGUUCUGCUGCCGCUGCUCUUUUUUAGCUUCCAUCCUCCUCUUACUUUGUGUCCGCAUUCGUCUUUCUUCUUCUGUCCUGGGGAACUUCAGUUUCAAAAUCUUACUUCUCUUGGUCUUUUUCUCAAGAAGAAUUUCAUUCUGUGAAAAUCAGAAAGGGAAAGGAUUCUAACCAUUUGGGGUUUAAUAACAAGAGUACCAUUCCGGGCUUCCCUGGGGUGGUGUAGUGGUUAAGAAUCCGCCUGCCAAUGCAGGGGACAUGGGUUCGAGCCCUGGUCCGGGAAGGUCCCACAUGCCGCAGAGCAACUAAGCCUGUGCGCCACAACUACUGAGCCUGCGCUCUAGAGCCCGUGAGCCACAACUCCUGAGCCUGCGGGCCACGACUACUGAAGACUGCGCACCUAGAGCCCGUGCUCUGCAACAAGAGAAGCCACCGCGAUAAGAAGCCCGCACGCCGCAACGAAGAGUAGCCCCUGCUUGCCACAGCUAGAGAAAACCCACGCACAGCGACAAAGACCCAACGCAGCCCAAAAUAAAUAAAUAAAUAUAUAUAUAUAUAUUUUUUAAAGUACCAUUCCCAAGACUUUAAUCAUCUGAAGGAUAAUUCUUGGGUUGUAUCA